RNAcentral lists this ribosomal RNA (438 nucleotides) under Triticum aestivum (bread wheat). Its description in RNAcentral is "partial small subunit ribosomal RNA". The record is from RNAcentral. Lineage: Eukaryota; Viridiplantae; Streptophyta; Magnoliopsida; Poales; Poaceae.
AUCACUAGGGAUAACCUUAGGAAGAGACACAUCAUCAAACCCCUUGAUUGUGUUUACUCCUUUGAACAAGAGUCUUCUUCUCACCUAUUUUUUGAAUGUAUAGUUGCUAAACAUCUCUGGGCCCACAUUGAGGAAUAUUUCUCUAGUCAGAUUGGCUCAUCCUUCGAAUCUAUCGCCAGAUUCUGGAUUGCUACCAAAAAGUGCUCAGUUUUAAACACUGUUAGCUCAGCUGUCCUUUGGUGCCUCUGGAAAUAUAGAAAUGCUAUGAUUUUCAGUAACACCUCCUGGAUUUCCAUUCCGCAGGUCUUGAGGUUGAUCAGGAAUAUGGUGAGGAACUGGGCGAUUCUCUCCUCCGGAUCGGACAAGGACAAGUUGAUGAGCUUCAUGGAAACCCUAACAAGAUCCCUCCAGAAACCGUUGGCGAUCACUUGUGGCUAA